ACAUAAUGGUUGUGUCAAAAAAGAUAAAUAUGUUUGGUCAAUGAUUGCAUGAUUUCCAUGAAUGUACUACAAAAUGUUCAUCAAGAGAAAAUAAAUAAUUGUGUUGAGAGAACUUUUAACGUUGCACAAAAAAUAUUAUGUUGGCCGAGCAAGAGAGAACAGCGUCAAUCGUCUGAGCAUGCGCAAAGGAGUUCUACCAGGUGCAGGCAGCAGGCUGGAGUUUCCCCCACCACGAGUCACGACAUUGCACUGGUUUGUGCUGAAUUCUUCUGCAUCUACCGUAUUGACGUGAAGUUAGCCAUUCUUGACAUCGCUGGACAAUCACACCCAGGGGUUGCUAAAGAUGUACAGAGCCAAAGCAAGACAGGGAAGGUGAAACUACUUGGAUGAGCUUCUGGAACAACUGGAUGCCCAG
Carassius auratus (goldfish) is the source of this 415-nucleotide long non-coding RNA. RefSeq lists it as uncharacterized. The transcript is spliced from 2 exons. Lineage: Eukaryota; Metazoa; Chordata; Actinopteri; Cypriniformes; Cyprinidae. The record is from RefSeq and is a predicted model, not a curated record.